UGGGGAAUAUUGGACAAUGGGCGCAAGCCUGAUCCAGCCAUGCCGCGUGGGUGAUGAAGGCCCUAGGGUUGUAAAGCCCUGUUGAGGGGGAAGCGGUACAUCGGAUAAUACCCGGUGUGUCUUGACGGUACUCCCGAGGAAGCCCCGGCUAAUUAC
This 156-nucleotide ribosomal RNA is filed under the name uncultured bacterium. RNAcentral describes it as "partial 16S ribosomal RNA". It matches the Rfam family "Bacterial small subunit ribosomal RNA", at positions 355 to 504 of the family's 1533-position model. The record is from RNAcentral.